Methanobacteriaceae archaeon 41_258 is the source of this 75-nucleotide non-coding RNA. The record is from Rfam. NCBI's taxonomy places the organism in Archaea, Methanobacteriati, Methanobacteriota, Methanobacteria, Methanobacteriales, Methanobacteriaceae.
GGGCCCGUAGCCUAGCCUGGAUAGGGCAUCGGACUCCUAAUCCGAAGGUCCCGGGUUCAAAUCCCGGCGGGUCCG